UUUAGCGUAUUAUCGACACCGGCCCUUUCCGCCGUGUUCGGUAAUAAAAUAACCUGGCUUAUUAGUCCGAAUUCAGACAAAUAUAAAUAAAUCCUGCUCAAAAUUAAAAAUUCUAACCGGUAAAAGAUAUUACUUAAACAUGUAAAUUCACUUUCCUUUAAAAAACAAAAAACCGCCAAAAUCAGGCGGUUUUUUGUUGCUGGUCCGGU
This is a non-coding RNA of Escherichia coli str. K-12 substr. MG1655, 209 nucleotides long. The record is from Rfam. NCBI's taxonomy places the organism in Bacteria, Pseudomonadati, Pseudomonadota, Gammaproteobacteria, Enterobacterales, Enterobacteriaceae.